Molecule: non-coding RNA, 5617 nt
Organism: Oryza sativa Japonica Group (Japanese rice)
Lineage: Eukaryota; Viridiplantae; Streptophyta; Magnoliopsida; Poales; Poaceae
Source: RefSeq, a predicted model, not a curated record
AAAUUCCUAAAAUUUAUGUUUUAGUAACAUGUUUAGCCUUCUCUUGGAGGUUCCCUAAAAUUUUUGUUUUAGUAACCUGUUUAGGUGCGCUAAAUAAGCCAUGGGAUGGUCGAUGAGUGGUUUGGAUGCAGACUACUGCUCAACUUCCGAUCCCUCAACCUCUCUCUCCACCAGCCGGCGGCGGCGGAGAUUCGCCGGAGAUCAGGCGGAGGCACUGCGGGCUGCUCCUCUCCCCGCCCCGCGCCGCCGUUUCCUCCUCGUCGGGCCACCGUCCGUCGCCGCCAUCAGAUCGUCGAUCCCGUGCCACCACCAGGAGGCCGCGCGCCCGAGCAGGUGGAUUCGGGGCCGCGCCCUCCUCUCCUCCGAGCUCACCGAGGUGCGCCUCCAUCCUCCGAUCUCACCGCCACGCUUCUACUUCUACCCCCCAUUUUCCUUGUAGAGUAGAGUAGUAACUUGUUGGAAUCAAUUGGUGUAUGAUUUGCUCACAGUAAAUGGUAUGCGUAGUGUAGCGCUGUCAAUUUACAACAAUUGAUUUAUUAUUCUGUCAUGCAAAUUGUACAGUGAUUUCAUUUCGUUUUACCUGAAAUUAGUGCCACCGCCUGGUUCAACCGUUAGUUGGUGCUAUUCUAUAUCACAACCGGUAUGGAUACUCGGCAAUGUCACUGAUUGCUGUCCAUCUACUGGUAAUUACCAAAUGACAGAAUAUCAAAAUGUAGUUGCACCAGACAGAGAUAAUAGUAAUCUACCUCAAUUCCAAACAUACAACUAAGUAUAUGAAGAAUUUGCUCACUGAAUUAACUUUUAGAUGAUUAUUUCUGCAUCCGUCCUAAAAUAUAAGGAAUUUUGGAUGGAUGGAACUCAUCCUAGAUUUGUAAUACUAGGAUAUGUCCCAUUCAACCAAAAAUCCCUUAUAUUUUGUGACGGAGAGAGUAGUAGAUUACUAGUAACAUGUUGCACAUGUAAUUUGGUAUGUAGGUGCAAAAUCGGACAAAUGGUUGUCUUUAGAUCAUAUAAACAGUAUACUUUAGUUAAAAGAAAAGGAAUCAAAUCAAUACUUAAAAAAACAAAUAUGUACUAAAUUUUCAGUGCACAUUUCGAGCUAUACUAACUAGUGCAUGAAAGUAACAUAUUUGGGUACUUUAUUUCCUUAUUAUGCUAGUUGUAUUUCUUGAUUUGGGUGAUAAUUAACAACAGCAAAUAAAAAGUUCGUAUCAUCUGAAUUAUGCUGUUAGGAGGAUUAAAAGAUAAUUAAUAUUUGGAUUUCCUGAUCAACAGUGAGGAUGCAUAGUCAAACUAACAGUGCAUAGUAUAUAACUUUCUAACAAAAUCUGAGCAAAUCGAUAACAGUGUUAGGAGAAUUCAAUAGAUAGGGUUGCCCAUUUUAAGAUGGUGCCAUACAGAAAAUGAACACUCUUUGUGUGAAAAGGGUUCAGACAGUGAAUUAUUCGCCCAAAUGGAGCGAAUUUACAAUUGUUUUAGAUAAUAGAAAUAGUUUGUAUACGAGCCACUACCUUUAAUUGGGCACACGACCAGCAUUGACACUGAAAACAUAUAAGCAACAGACAGACACAGCUAUAGUUUUAAUUUUUUUUUAGCAAAGAUCAAUCGUACUGAUUGACCCAGCUUUAUAAGAAACCCAAACAGGACCAGUCAAGAAAAAAACACCAAACAGAACAGAACCCAUACAGUAAAAGAAAGGAAAUCAACCUGCUAACAUCUUUUUUUUUUGAAACGAACCGCACAAGACAGUGCGAGUUUCAUGUAUUGAUAAAGCAGGAGAAAAAUACAAGUUAUAGUCCUGGAAGACUAUAGCCCAGAAAGAAAAAAACAACCACACCACGCGCCUACAACCACAAACGCUGCAAGAGCAAAACAGGAAAUCUUCGCGACGACGCCUCCAAGGAGGAAACGACACCAAGGAUGCCACCGUCGCCCGUCCCGAGAGCCAGGAGAAGGUUUUCACCCGAAGAAUGGGAGAGGCAAGAGUUACAGCAACACCCCAAGGAGAGAGCGGCGCCCACAGACGUUGUUGUUGCCGGCCCGAAGGCAGGGCUUUCGUCCGAAUUUCGUCCCUUCCCAAAAAAACUCCUGCACGCUCCACCGCCACCACCGUCAAAAGCCUUCGACGCGUGGCCACCGCGCCGGCGCCAUGCCGUCGGCAAACCGUCAAGGAGGAGCUCGACCCCCGACACGCUCCAACGACAUCCACACAGUUGGGUUGGAUGGGGAGAGGGUGAGAUGUGGCCAUCUUUGUCGGCAAAGGCGCCGUCGCAGGAGGACGAAGUUUGGGUUGGAGCCCGUCGAAGAACCGAUGCUCCUCCUUGACAGUGCAAUCCGUCGACUCCGCCACGAUCCCGUUGCCCACGCCAUCCUCGGGCUAGAGGACUGCUUCACCAUCGCCUAGCCACCCUCCGCACCAUGCCGAUGACACCCUCCGUCACAGUGCUCCGCAUCGGUUCACCGAGACAUCCACCGUAGCACGGCGCUCUCGCUCCAGAUCCGGCGGAGGGGACCGGAUCUUGCAGAGAGAGAGAGGCCAGGUGCACACCACACAAGCCAAAGCCGCCGCCAGGGAGGACACCGUCACGUCGCCGCUGCAAAGAAAUCCACUGGCGCGGCCUGGCAAGCGUGUUGAAGCUCUGGUCAGCCACCCUGGCUUGGGCUCCGCCGCCGCCGCCGCCACCACCAGUCGUCGCCAUCACCACCUCUCGAACGCACCGCCGCCACCGCUCAUCCUCGCCGCCAGGCGCCACCCCCCCAGAUCCGGCCGGACGGCACGGAUCUGGACGGAACGUCGCUGCCAACACCACCAGACGCCGCCACCACUACUCAGCCCCGCCACCAGCUGCCGCCCCACAAGAUCCCGUCGGCAUGGAUCUGGACGGCCACCGCCACCACCGACGCCGACGCCGACGUUGCCGCUGCGUGGCCCUCCGCGUGGGCCACACGCCGUCGCCACUGCCUCCGCGCGGCCCUCGCGCCGCCACGCGUCCCAGCCCAGAUCCGGCCCCCCGGAUCCAGGCUCGCUGGCGCUGGAUCCCGGCGUCGACGCUGGCGCCGUGCUCCCGUCGUCCGGUCUCGCGGUGCCCCAACCGCUGCACCAGGGCGAGGGAGAAGAGGAGCCUCGUAGCCGCCAUCUUUGCAGCCGGCCGGCUUUGUCAGCGGCUACUCUGGCGGCGGUGAGGCGGGGAGAGAAGGGGCCGGGAGAGAAGGGGCGACGGCGUUUUCGCCGCCCGCGUCUUCCCUGGGGCGGAGCGACUGAGCGCGUUGUGGGGGCCACCUGCUAACAUCUUAGCUAACAACCUGCUAACAGAGAGCACUAUGACAGACAAAGCUAUACUCCGUAGUUUACUUAGCAAUACACUAAACACCACUACCUUCCUCCAGAUAGACCAGUUAAUGUUGUUUCCGGACAUGACAUCACAUAUUGAUCAUAGGCUGCAGUGUCAUCACUGUGAACCUCAGUGGUGAAGAAACUUGGUGAGUAGUCUGACAAUGUAAGAACCCUCUCGAGGUACUACACAACUUGUUGCAUUCUUGGCCUCACAUUGGGAGAUGGAUGCGAGCACAGUAACCCAAUCUUUAGAACUAACUCUGCGUCCUCUGCUACACAAUCCUCCAGUCUCAGGUCUAUGGUGUCGGUGAUCGAACCAUUUUGCCAUGUCUCGAGCACCCAGUCCACCAACACUAUAGGGUCGUCACGAGCACUCCUUGUAAUGCAAACACAUCGGUUGCCUUGGUUGCCUUGCCCAGUCUUGAUAGCUCAGGGGCAAUAUAUCCCCAUGUACCAGCGAAAUGCGUAGUGUGCGCAUCAGCUCCAUGGUCAUGCAACCUUGCAAGGCCAAAGUCACCAAGCCUCCCGUUCAUGUCGGUAUCAAGGAGCACGUUGCUCGUCUUGAUAUCACGGUGGAUGACUACGUGCUCCCAGUCCUCAUGUAGGUAAAAGAGGCCAGAUGUGAUACCUUUGAUUAUGCCAAGCCUCAUAGCCCAACCUAUAGUAGGUGUGUUAUCCUGAUCAUGUAAGUACUUAUCGAGGCUGCCAUUGGGCAUAUAGUCGUAGACUAAGAGAAGCUCCUUUUUUAUCGGCAGUAGCCUAACAAUUGCACAAGGUUACGGUGGCGGACAUGGCCAAGGAUGGCAAUCUCCGCCACAAACUCCUUCAUUCCUUGCUUUGAUUCCGGAGAAACGCUUUUUAUAGCAACAUUCUGCUUAGUAACAGCGAGCACCCCUUUGUAAACCCUCCCAAAUCCUCCUCUGCCUAAAAAGCAUCUUGUCCUCAAAUCCACUAGUGGCUGUCACUAGAUCUUUGUACCUGAAAGAGCGUGGCCCACAUUUGGCCUCCCAAUCUUCACAUUUCCCAGCUUUCUUCUUGCGGCAUAGCAAAACAACAAUAACAGCAACAAGGACAGACAUGGCAACCAGUACUGAUAAUAUAACAAUGGCUAAUAUGUUAUGGUUAGGAAGUUGACAACGAUCUUGCUCCUGUCUCUGAUUGUUUGGAGGUUUAAGAUUAUCUUGCUUUGCAAAAUCAUGAGCCACUUCGAGAGGCAGUGCAGAGUGGUUAAGUGGCUGAGCUUCCCCAUCUGUGGUGAAGCUCCAACCGAGAAUGUAAUGGCCGCUGUGUGUGGGGCCUGUUGCAGAUGAAAACCCUAUAGAUGCUAAUUGAUUAUCUUGCGAUAUCAUGGAGAUUAGACUGGACUCUGACAAUGAUAUCAGUGGACGUCGAGGUUUAUCCAUCAAGUAAGGGGUGUAGUACUCUGCGGGUUGAGGCUGAAGGGAAAUCAAGCUGCUGCUGUCUAACCCAACAUGGUUGUUGUUGAUGUCGAAGAAUUCACUGUCUCUUUUGGUAUCGAAUUCGACAGCAAACAAGAAGUUUUCAUCAUCAAAGGGAUCAAGUCCCAUGUACAUACCUUGCAAGUUGUUCUGUGAUCCAAUGUUUGUAGAUAUUACCAAUGCAAACCCAUUAGCACUCCUGUUGGCAUAAUCAGAGGAGAUGACGAACACAAAACUUGUCGAGAAAGAAGGUAUUUUUCCAGCUGACGAAGGGAAGCUCCGGGAAGCAUGGCUACUUUUUUGGGGGAUGUUGCCAAGGUUCAGGAGUCCCCUUGUGACUGAAGCUUCCCCGUUAAGACUAAGAUCAGUAUCUUUAAAUCCAUUGCAGAUGAAUUGGUCAGAAUCAGCAUCUAGCUUAGUGGCAUGGAGGAUGAGGAAAAGGAGAAAGAAGAAGGGCAGCAGAGAGGAAGGAAGCAUGGCUAGUUGGCUCUCCUUCCUUCUGCAAGAGAUGGGAGGGGAUGAAAAAAGAAGAAUGCAGUAAGUAGAUGGAUGCAUCACAGGCUACACCGGGCAGCUUUUAGAGAGUUUAUCAAACUUUUAAAACUUAGGACUUAGUUUAAAAACAGGAAAAAUGGUGUAUGCGUAGAUUUUCUUUGAAAAGUCAUACUUAAACUUAUUCUAGGUGAUGUAAAAUUGUUGGUCAAAUUUUUAAAGAUUUGAUAAAAUCUUGUUGGAAGUCCUAACCAUCGAAUAUGACGGGAGGGAUAAUCUUCUUUGGCUGGUGCAUGAAAGCCUGCUACAUUGUACAAUUUUCGUCAAUUGGUGGGAUACACAUAGUUAAGCA